CUCAACCUGGGAAUGGCAUUUUGAACUGGCAGGCUCGAGUUCUGAAGAGGGUGGUAGAAUUUCCAGUGUAGCGGUGAAAUGCGUAGAUAUUGGAAGGAAUACCAGUGGCGAAGGCGGCCACCUGGUCAGAAACUGACGCUGAGGUACGAAAGCGUGGGGAGCAAACAGGAUUAGAUACCCUGGUAGUCCACGCCGUAAACGAUGUCAACUAGUUGUUCGUUUCAUAAACGAAGUGAGUAACGCAGCUAACGCACUAAGUUGACCGCCUGGGGAGUACGGCCGCAAGGUUAAAACUCAAAUGAAUUGACGGGGGCCCGCACAAGCGGUGGAGCAUGUGGUUUAAUUCGAUGCAACGCGAAGAACCUUACCAUCCCUUGACAUCCAGUGAAUCCUUCAAAGAUGAGGGAGUGCCUUCGGGAACAC
RNAcentral lists this ribosomal RNA (423 nucleotides) under uncultured Gammaproteobacteria bacterium. RNAcentral describes it as "bacterial SSU rRNA". It matches the Rfam family "Bacterial small subunit ribosomal RNA", at positions 608 to 1029 of the family's 1533-position model. The record is from RNAcentral. Lineage: Bacteria; Pseudomonadati; Pseudomonadota; Gammaproteobacteria.